UUUGGUUUAUGAUCCAUGAAAUUUGAUUAUAGAAUUUGGAUAUGGUGGACUAAAUUGGAUUCAGAUUUUUAUUGUAGGUUAGAUUGGAUUUGGAUUUUUUUUGUGGAUUUAGGUUUUGUGGGUUUUCGGCCUUUGGAUUUGGAUUUGGAUUUUUGUAGAUUUGGGUUUAUGAAUUUUGGGCCUUUGGAUUUGGACUUUUGUAGAUUUGGGUUUUAUGGAUUUUGAAUUUUUGUUUGUUUGGGUUUUUGUAGUGGAUUGGAUUGGAUUUGGAUUUUAUGGAUUUAGGUUUUGUAGGUUUUGGGCUUUUAUGAUGGGCUGCAUUUGAUUUGGGUUUUACCUGUUUAGGUUUUGUAGGUUUUGGGUUUUUAUGGAGGGCUGCAUUUGAUUUGAAUUUUAUGGGUUUAGGUUUUGUAGGUUUUGGGCUUUUAUGGUGGGCUGCAUUUGAUUUGGAUUUUAUGGGUUUAAGUGUAACGAACCGAAACUCGGUAGAAAAUAUCGAAUUUUAGCCAAAUUGACUAAAGUGUGUGAAAAAAAUAGUUGGGCAAGUUCCAUUUAGCUUUUCAAUAAUGUUGGAAGGGUUAAAAGUGAGUUUAAGAAGGGUUAGAAGGGUUUUAGCAUCGACCGGCGCUAAAUAGAAUCAAAACAAUGCGAAAAUUGCAUCCUGGGCAAAGUGUACCGGUACA
RNAcentral lists this long non-coding RNA (683 nucleotides) under Ananas comosus (pineapple). RNAcentral describes it as "long non-coding RNA (ACOM_LNC021065)". The record is from RNAcentral. Lineage: Eukaryota; Viridiplantae; Streptophyta; Magnoliopsida; Poales; Bromeliaceae.